This 458-nucleotide ribosomal RNA is filed under the name uncultured bacterium. RNAcentral describes it as "partial 16S ribosomal RNA". It matches the Rfam family "Bacterial small subunit ribosomal RNA", at positions 338 to 795 of the family's 1533-position model. The record is from RNAcentral.
CCUACGGGAGGCAGUAGUGAGGAAUAUUGGGCAAUGGAGGCAAGCCUGAACCAGCAAAGUAGCGUGAAGGAUGACGGCCCUAUGGGUUGUAAGCCUCUUUUUACGGGGAGAAAAAGCCGGACGUAUCUGGCUGUGAGAGUACCCGAAACAAAAGGAUCGGAUCACUCCGUGCAAGCAGGCGCGGGACUACGUAGGAUGCGAGGGUUCUCCGGAUUUAUUGGGUUGAAGGGGUACGCAGGCGGGUUUUUAAGUAAGCGCUAAAAUCGUGGGGCUCAACCCAAUCCAGCCGUUGAAACUGGGGAUCUAGAGUGUGCGAGAGGCAUGCGGAAUGCCUGGUGUAGCGGUGAAAUGCAUAGAUAUUACGAAGAACCCCGAUUGCGAAGGCAGGAUACCGGUGUACAACUGACGCUCAGGCACGAAAGCGUGGGUAGCGAACAGGAUUAGAUACCCGAGUAGUC